Molecule: non-coding RNA, 1696 nt
Organism: Lolium perenne
Lineage: Eukaryota; Viridiplantae; Streptophyta; Magnoliopsida; Poales; Poaceae
Source: RefSeq, a predicted model, not a curated record
CGAUCCCUCCUAUUGUCCAUAUUGGAAAUGCCAUAUAUACACUUUGCAGGAAGCUGCUGCACCACAUAUUGUCUACCUUGUGUGUUAAUGCUCAAGGUUUUCCAUGCUACCCAGUGCUAGAGUAGUUCUUGCUUGUGUAUUGUUCUUUUUAUGCAUCUCAAAGCAAUGUGAAACUGGUAUCUUUUGCUGAUAUACAUCUUCCUUAAACAUAAAACAUUAAUUUUAAAGUUCAACAAGUGGCUAUCUAAGCUUUUCUUCAGUUCUGAAUGUUGUGGAUAAAUAUAGAGCAGCGAUGGUAUUAUCUAGGUGGUCCAAGCACUUCAUAUUCAUCCAGUCAGAUGGAUCGGUUUCUAUUUUCAGCAGAGCAAUAAUCUCUAUAAGAAAAACUGAAGUGCAGAUCACCUACCACAGCCUUUUAAUUACCUUACUACAUGGCUAACUAUCAUAUUUGUUAAAUGGGCAAUCUGCGACUUCUAGCUAAUCUUUUAUGCAGAGCACAAUAUAGGCUUCUUUGGUUAUUCAAAGUUUAAUGCUUGGCCUUUUAACAGGGUUAAAAUGAUAGGCCACUCACUCUGCACUAAUUCUGUGACCUGUCACUUCCACUUAGAUCAAAGCAUCCAUACAAAAUCACUUAGAGGUUAAGCAAUGCAAUCUCUACAUAAUACGCAGUACACAAAAAAUUAGUUGAUCCGUUUUUGUUUCUAUGAUGACCUUCUGAAUGUAUUAUACAUUUUUUCAUAAACCAGUUACCAGUCCUAACUAGAGUCAAAUGUUGAACUUUUGAAUGGUUCAAAAGGUAUUAUAAAAAGCACCAGGUCCAGAGCAAAAUGGAGAUUUUAGGCUUGAAGAUGUUGCUGCGUUCAGUAGUUCAUAGAAAUAUCAGAGCUUAUACCUGGAUAAAGGUAUGAAGAAUCUGAUGGCAAUUGAUCCCCCGUUGGUAAGUAGGUCUACAGAAACAUCAAAUUUACUGUGUGCUAUUUUUAGCUUUGCCUACAAUACAAUGCUCAAAUAGUGAUCAUGUAUAUACAUCCCGAGCAAAGACUGGAUUGUGUUCUUGUUACCAAAAUUUAACGGUACCUGUUGUGUUUAUCAACAUAAUUGAAGCAUGGAAGAAAAAUACAUAUCAUAUACUCAUCGUUUCCUAGAACCACUGGCCUGGCAAAGGACCUGCAUAAAAAGUAGUAUUGUUGCUUGAUUUUCUGUACUAGAGAGUUUAAUGCUCAUCGUUUCCUAGAGCCACUGGCGUUCCCUCUAAUAUGGUUACGUGUUUAAUGCUCAUUUGUUACUAAAUGUAUGAUCAUCAGUUCAGCACUACCAAUCUUCCCCAGAUAAAUUAUUUACUUCAUGAUGUCCCUAAAUCAAAUUAUCUGAGCCUAUCCAAAUAUAUAGUUUAGAAAAUGAGUAUGAGAGUUGGAAUACUUCUCUUCUUCCACUGCAGCCACAGUUUAUAUGUAUAAGUGAUAUUUACUAGCUGAAUUUAUCAUCACAUGAUCGAUCCUCACAUGUCAAAUGCAAUUUCUUUACUUUUUCCAUACAAGUAGUAGACUAAAAUUUGACGAGUCUUGCUCCAAGCAUUUGCUGCAGUAUGGUUUUUUAUAUGGUUUAAGUUAAACGAUGUGACAGUUUACAAACAGUUGGUGAGCACUGCUGGUUGUUAAGAUUAUUUGAGAGUUGGAGGAUAUGCUUCUUCAGGUAA